This 685-nucleotide long non-coding RNA is filed under the name Olea europaea subsp. europaea. Lineage: Eukaryota; Viridiplantae; Streptophyta; Magnoliopsida; Lamiales; Oleaceae. The record is from RNAcentral.
CACACUCCAAAAUUUUCAUUUCCCCUCCUUUCAAACAAUUUCCCACUUUAUACACCACACAAGUGAACCCAAACCUCACAUGUGCACCGCCUCCAUCCCAAUCUCCGUGUCUCUCGCCGGAACUUUUAUCCAUUCUCUUUCUUUGCCCUAAUAAAGGAAUCUCAUACCCUUUUUUGGAACUAUAGUCAUUGCCUCGAAACUUCCACUUCCUCACAGCCUCAAAUUAAAGUGACGUGAAUGAGAAAAAGCUGUGCGGAAAGGGUUUGAUAGCUCUACCAGAUUUAAUGUUGAAGGUUAAUUUCUUGAGGCCCAUUCUUUUUCAAUAAUUUAUUCGAAAGUUAUGGAUGUGAGAGAAUACAGAAACAAUUCUAUUCACUCUAUCAAUAAUCGAGCCGGAUCUGGUGUAUCAUUGGUAGAGCUCCGUUCUUGCAAUUGGGUCAUAUUGGUCAUGGGUUGAGAACGGGAAUUGAACUAAAUCCUAGACUAAUAACCCGAUAACUCCAAUAAUCGAAUUGUUGAAUAAAUUUCGACCUUGUCUUGUUUUCAUUUUUCAAGCUGAGACGGGAUGAGGGUGGGGAGGGGAGGGGAGAAUAAGCCCAAAAUGAUAUAUUACUUUUGCGGCUUUAACCCUUGGAUUUAACUAAUAAGCUGUGUAUUUACUAUUUAGAAUAAGACUUUAUUCUAG